AGUUCGGAUUGUAGUCUGCAACCCGACUACAUGAAGCUGGAAUCGCUAGUAAUCGCGGAUCAGAAUGCCGCGGUGAAUACGUUCCCGGGUCUUGUACACACCGCCCGUCACACCAUGGGAGUCGGAAAUGCCCGAAGUCUGUGACCUAACCGUAAGGAAGGAGCAGCCGAAGGCAGGUCGGAUGACUGGGGUGAAGUCGUAACAAGGUAAC
This 211-nucleotide ribosomal RNA is filed under the name uncultured bacterium. Its description in RNAcentral is "partial 16S ribosomal RNA". It matches the Rfam family "Bacterial small subunit ribosomal RNA", at positions 1290 to 1500 of the family's 1533-position model. The record is from RNAcentral.